Molecule: transfer RNA, 73 nt
Organism: Lepisosteus oculatus (spotted gar)
Lineage: Eukaryota; Metazoa; Chordata; Actinopteri; Semionotiformes; Lepisosteidae
Rfam family: tRNA
About the family: Transfer RNA (tRNA) molecules are approximately 80 nucleotides in length. Their secondary structure includes four short double-helical elements and three loops (D, anti-codon, and T loops).
Source: Rfam
GGGCCAGUGGCGCAAUGGAUAACGCAUCUGAUUUUGGAUCAGAAGAUUGCAGGUUUGAUUCCUGCCUGGCUCG